UAGGGAAUCUUCCGCAAUGGGCGAAAGCCUGACGCAGCAACGCCGCGUGAGUGAUGAAGGUCUUCGGAUCGUAAAACUCUGUUAUUAGGGAAGAACACAUGUGUAAGUAACUAUGCACGUCUUGACGGUACCUAAUCAGAAAGCCACGGCUAACUACGUGCCAGCAGCCGCGGUAAUACGUAGGUGGCAAGCGUUAUCCGGACUUAUUGGGCGUAAAGCGCGCGUAGGCGGUUUUUUAAGCCUGAUGUGAAAGCCCACGGCUCAACCGUGGAGGGACAUUGGAAACUGGAAAACUUGAGUGCAGAAGAGGAAAGUGGAAUUCCAUGUGUAGCGGUGAAAUGCGCAGAGAUAUGGAGGAACACCAGUGGCGAAGGCGACUUUCUGGUCUGUAACUGACGCUGAUGUGCGAAAGCGGGGGGAUCAAACAGG
RNAcentral lists this ribosomal RNA (429 nucleotides) under Actinomycetes bacterium. RNAcentral describes it as "Actinobacteria bacterium partial 16S ribosomal RNA". It matches the Rfam family "Bacterial small subunit ribosomal RNA", at positions 355 to 776 of the family's 1533-position model. The record is from RNAcentral. Lineage: Bacteria; Bacillati; Actinomycetota; Actinomycetes.